AUCUGUAAAGCAUUAAAUGACCUAGCCCCUAUUUAAAUCAGAGACUGUCUUGACAACUGCUGUCUGCAGCAAGGCUUUGGCUGUCUUCCCUUGGGGGGAGGCUGGAGGAGUGUGAAGCGUAUUCGUGGAGAAGAUCCACUGAUUUCAAUAAAAUCUUUAGAAAACAUUUCACUCGGUGAAACCAACUGGGAAUGUGACCUGGCAGUUUCUGAUUUCAUAACUACAAGGACGGAUGAGCUACCAAGUCCUUGGGCAGCUUCUCUCAGUCUCUUCUUGGAGCUCCUCAUUUUUAAUGGACUGACCCAUGCCAUCCCAUUGCAGUUGGACUAGAUGAUC
Harpia harpyja (harpy eagle) is the source of this 336-nucleotide long non-coding RNA. RefSeq lists it as uncharacterized. The record is from RefSeq and is a predicted model, not a curated record. The transcript is spliced from 3 exons. NCBI's taxonomy places the organism in Eukaryota, Metazoa, Chordata, Aves, Accipitriformes, Accipitridae.